RNAcentral lists this ribosomal RNA (253 nucleotides) under uncultured prokaryote. RNAcentral's name for it is "partial 16S ribosomal RNA". It matches the Rfam family "Bacterial small subunit ribosomal RNA", at positions 524 to 776 of the family's 1533-position model. The record is from RNAcentral.
CACGGGGGGAACGAGCGUUGUUCGGAUUUACUGGGCGCAAAGGGUGCGUAGGCGGGUCAGCAAGUCGGGUGUGAAAGUCCAGGGCUUAACCCUGAAUCUGCAUUCGAAACUGUUGGUCUUGAGUACUGGAGAGGUAAGUGGAAUUCCUGGUGUAGCGGUGAAAUGCGUAGAUAUCAGGAGGAACACCGUUGGCGAAGGCGGCUUACUGGACAGAUACUGACGCUGAGGCACGAAGGUCGGGGGAGCAAACAGG